CGCCGCGCAUGCGUAGCGGAGCCCAGAGAGGGCGCAGCCCAGCGGGAGAAAGUGGGCAGGGCCGACCGAAAGCUUGGCCAAUGAAAAGCCUCCGCCUCCACAAGCCUGCCUGCGGCCAUUUUGACUACUGGCAAAACCCUGCGAAGCAGACGGCUCUUGGAGCGGGAUGGGUGUGGACACUGGCUCUUCUUGGUAAACCGGACGGCGCAUUCCAGCUAGAAACUGCCUGAAGCUGCCCAUGGAAGCUACUGACCAAGUUUUGUUGAAUCAAUGGGUUUCUUCUUGUAUGGUUGACAAGCCUGGGUUCAAGGCCUACACGUUAUGGCAUAGUGGCUGCCUCACCUCAGUGGUUUUAUUACCUUCCUUGGGAACCUUGGUUUCCAAAGUUUACCUCACUUGGCAAUUGAGGUAAAGUGAAAGUGGACACACAGCACUCAUCUUACUGCUUACAGAUCAUAUAUUUCUAAAGCAACGACUUGGCUGUCAUUUUCAUAUAUUCAUACACAUUGAAUUCAUGUCCCGGUCGAGGCACUGAGGGCAUAAAAUCUAAUGAAACCACCCUCACCCAAGCCGAGCUAGUAAGCUGGUGAGCCUCUCAAGGACUUUUAAGUCUGCAUUGCGUGCAUCUGGGAGCAUUAAGCAAGAGCUUUCUUUGCAUCCUGCCUCUCAUCUCUUCUACCUCCCCAACUCCACCCCUGUCUAAUCCGAGAGUAGACAGUUCGUAAAGGAAAGGAGAAGCCAGAGUAAUUAGAAUAGGCAAGUAGGAGUUAUGCCUCCUGCCUCACCUACAGGAGUAUUUGGAAGAUUAGUCCAGAAUCUUUCAGAAGUUGCUCUUGGGACAGACCUUUCUAAUAAUUCAUCACUCAGAAUCUGCAUGGCACUGUGUGCCUCUCAUCAAAGCAGUACCAUUAAGAAUUAAGAAACAACAGACUUAGUUUGCCCUUUGGUUACUCCAAUGCAAAACUGGUUACCAUCAAGCAAAAACUAUUAUGAUUUCAGCAAACUAAGUCAAGUAAAACUAACCACGCAACUCUUGAGUUUAGUCAGAGACUGUCUCAUAGGCUUAGUACACAAUAGUAUAAAACAUCCUCUUCCAAUGGUUGGUUGCAUUUUAUUUUAUAUACAUUAUAUAAUAAAAUAGAUUAUAUAUAUAUA
Molecule: non-coding RNA, 1155 nt
Organism: Rattus norvegicus (Norway rat)
Lineage: Eukaryota; Metazoa; Chordata; Mammalia; Rodentia; Muridae
Source: RefSeq, a predicted model, not a curated record